Molecule: ribosomal RNA, 253 nt
Filed under: uncultured bacterium
Lineage: Bacteria
Description: partial 16S ribosomal RNA
Rfam family: Bacterial small subunit ribosomal RNA
Source: RNAcentral
UACGUAGGGUGCAGGCGUUAAUCGGAAUUACUGGGCGUAAAGCGUGCGCAGGCGGUUUGCUAAGACAGGUGUGAAAUCCCCGGGCUUAACCUGGGAACUGCGCUUGUAACUGGCAAGCUAGAGUGUGGCAGAGGGGGGUGGAAUUCCACGUGUAGCAGUGAAAUGCGUAGAGAUGUGGAGGAACACCGAUGGCGAAGGCAGCCCCCUGGGCUGAGAUUGACGCUCAGGCACGAAAGCGUGGGGAGCAAACAGG